RNAcentral lists this ribosomal RNA (301 nucleotides) under uncultured bacterium. Its description in RNAcentral is "partial 16S ribosomal RNA". It matches the Rfam family "Bacterial small subunit ribosomal RNA", at positions 509 to 807 of the family's 1533-position model. The record is from RNAcentral.
CAGUAGCCGCGGUAAUACGAAGGGGGCUAGCGUUGCUCGGAAUGACUGGGCGUAAAGGGCGCGUAGGCGGAUUGUUUAGUUAGGCGUGAAAUUCCUGGGCUUAACCUGGGGACUGCGCUUAAUACAGGCAGUCUAGAGUGAGGAAGAGGGUUGUGGAAUUCCCAGUGUAGAGGUGAAAUUCGUAGAUAUUGGGAAGAACACCGGUGGCGAAGGCGACUCUCUGGUCUGUAACUGACGCUGAGGAGCGAAAGCGUGGGGAGCGAACAGGAUUAGAUACCCGAGUAGUCCCUGUCUCUUAUAC